This 732-nucleotide ribosomal RNA is filed under the name Escherichia coli. RNAcentral's name for it is "partial 23S ribosomal RNA". It matches the Rfam family "Bacterial large subunit ribosomal RNA", at positions 498 to 1230 of the family's 2925-position model. The record is from RNAcentral. Lineage: Bacteria; Pseudomonadati; Pseudomonadota; Gammaproteobacteria; Enterobacterales; Enterobacteriaceae.
GUACCGUGAGGGAAAGGCGAAAAGAACCCCGGCGAGGGGAGUGAAAAAGAACCUGAAACCGUGUACGUACAAGCAGUGGGAGCACGCUUAGGCGUGUGACUGCGUACCUUUUGUAUAAUGGGUCAGCGACUUAUAUUCUGUAGCAAGGUUAACCGAAUAGGGGAGCCGAAGGGAAACCGAGUCUUAACUGGGCGUUAAGUUGCAGGGUAUAGACCCGAAACCCGGUGAUCUAGCCAUGGGCAGGUUGAAGGUUGGGUAACACUAACUGGAGGACCGAACCGACUAAUGUUGAAAAAUUAGCGGAUGACUUGUGGCUGGGGGUGAAAGGCCAAUCAAACCGGGAGAUAGCUGGUUCUCCCCGAAAGCUAUUUAGGUAGCGCCUCGUGAAUUCAUCUCCGGGGGUAGAGCACUGUUUCGGCAAGGGGGUCAUCCCGACUUACCAACCCGAUGCAAACUGCGAAUACCGGAGAAUGUUAUCACGGGAGACACACGGCGGGUGCUAACGUCCGUCGUGAAGAGGGAAACAACCCAGACCGCCAGCUAAGGUCCCAAAGUCAUGGUUAAGUGGGAAACGAUGUGGGAAGGCCCAGACAGCCAGGAUGUUGGCUUAGAAGCAGCCAUCAUUUAAAGAAAGCGUAAUAGCUCACUGGUCGAGUCGGCCUGCGCGGAAGAUGUAACGGGGCUAAACCAUGCACCGAAGCUGCGGCAGCGACGCUGAUGCGUUGUUGGGUA